AUAACAUGGACAUAAACAAACAAGAUAGCUGCUUCCACAUCCAGCGCUCAAAGAAUAUCACAGAUAUUUGCAGAGCCUUUUGAGAUGUUAUAGUAAUAAAAUAAUGACUUGGAUUGCAUUAUUGAGGAGUUUGGUGAUAAAACGAGUGAUCAGGAGAUAAUUUAUCGGUAUGCACGACUAUGAACAGCACCUCCAGCACGAAGAACCCUGCUGAAUGGAAGAGCCGCACACGAGGGGAGGCGGACAGCAGGGAAGAGUCCUGCCAGGGAAGAAGACAGUGCAGCUCACUGAUCUGACACAAGCAUAUACUGAUCUUAUCACAGUCUAACAAUGGGGAUCUGCUAUAUCAAUGUGCCCCCAACUGACAUAGUGCAACAUGAUCAUUGGAACUUUAGAUCGGAGGUCGGCGAGCUACCGCCCUCUGGAGGACAAAAGUCCAGCCCUGAAGGUGUCUGCUUGAGCUCAACCUGUGCCUGGACAGGGCUGGCUGUACCGAGAUGAUGAGAAACAGUCCCUGACAAUUUUGCCUCCCUAACCUGGGGAGCACCAGUCAGUGAGACGCCCACUCUGGAAUCCCCAGCAAAUAACAAAUAAAACAAACUACCUGACACUGCAGAGCACCACGGGUUGCGCUCAGU
This is a long non-coding RNA of Acipenser ruthenus (sterlet), 638 nucleotides long. RefSeq lists it as uncharacterized. Lineage: Eukaryota; Metazoa; Chordata; Actinopteri; Acipenseriformes; Acipenseridae. The transcript is spliced from 3 exons. The record is from RefSeq and is a predicted model, not a curated record.